UGUUGCUAUGGUGAAAUUGGUAAACACACAAGCUUGAGGGGCUUGCGGCUUAGCCUUCUCGGUUCGAGUCCGAGUAGUAAUAA
RNAcentral lists this transfer RNA (83 nucleotides) under Boodleopsis sp. FL1161. RNAcentral describes it as "tRNA-Leu". It matches the Rfam family "tRNA". Rfam says of the family: Transfer RNA (tRNA) molecules are approximately 80 nucleotides in length. Their secondary structure includes four short double-helical elements and three loops (D, anti-codon, and T loops). Further hydrogen bonds mediate the characteristic L-shaped molecular structure. tRNAs have two regions of fundamental functional importance: the anti-codon, which is responsible for specific mRNA codon recognition, and the 3' end, to which the tRNAs corresponding amino acid is attached (by aminoacyl-tRNA synthetases). tRNAs cope with the degeneracy of the genetic code in two manners: having more than one tRNA (with a specific anti-codon) for a particular amino acid; and 'wobble' base-pairing, i.e. permitting non-standard base-pairing at the 3rd anti-codon position. Lineage: Eukaryota; Viridiplantae; Chlorophyta; Ulvophyceae; Bryopsidales; Halimedaceae. The record is from RNAcentral.